Molecule: ribosomal RNA, 1483 nt
Filed under: uncultured Bordetella sp.
Lineage: Bacteria; Pseudomonadati; Pseudomonadota; Betaproteobacteria; Burkholderiales; Alcaligenaceae
Description: partial 16S-23S ribosomal RNA intergenic spacer
Rfam family: Bacterial small subunit ribosomal RNA
Source: RNAcentral
AGUUCGAUCAUGGCUCAGAUUGAACGCUGGCGGGAUGCUUUACACAUGCAAGUCGAACGGCAGCCUGGACUUCGGUCUGGUGGCGAGUGGCGAACGGGUGAGUAAUGUAUCAGGAACGUGCCUAGUAGCGGGGGAUAACUACGCGAAAGCGUAGCUAAUGCCACAUACGCCCUUCGGGGAAAGCGGGGACCUUCGGGCCUCGCACUAUUAAAGCGGCCGAUAUCGGAUUAGCUAGUUGGUGGGGUAACGGCUCACGCAAGGCGACGAUCCGUAGCUGGUUUUGAGGGACGACCAGCCACACUGGGACUGAGACACGGCCCAGACUCCUACAGGGAGAGCAGCAGUGGGGAAUUUUUGGACAAUGGAAGCUGAUCCAGCCAUCCCGCGUGUGCGAUGAAGGCCUUCGGGUUGUAAAGCACUUUUUGGCAGGAAAGAAACGGCACGGGAUAAUACCCCGUGCAACUGACGGUACCUGCAGAAUAAGCACCGGCUAACUACGUGCCAGCAGCCGCGGUAAUACGUAGGGUGCAAGCGUUAAUCGGAAUUACUGGGCGUAAAGCGUGCGCAGGCGGUUCGGAAAGAAAGAUGUGAAAUCCCAGAGCUUAACUUUGGAACUGCAUUUUUAACUACCGAGCUAGAGUGUGUCAGAGGGAGGUGGAAUUCCGCGUGUAGCAGUGAAAUGCGUAGAUAUGCGGAGGAACACCGAUGGCGAGGCAGCCUCCUGGGAUAACACUGACGCUCAUGCACGAAAGCGUGGGGAGCAAACAGAAGUUAGAUACCCUGGUAGUCCACGCCCUAAACGUCAACUAGCUGUUGGGGCCUUCGGGCCUUGGUAGCGCAGCUAACGCGUGAAGUUGACCGCCUGGGAAGUACGGUCGCAAGAUUAAAACUCAAAGGAAUUGACAGGGACCCGCACAAGCGGUGGAUGAUGUGGAUUAAUUCGAUGCAACGCGAAAAACCUUACCUACCCUUGACAUGUCUGGAAUCCCGAAGAGAUUUGGGAGUGCUCGCAAAGAGAACCGGAACACAGGUGCUGCAUGGCUGUCGUCAGCUCGUGUCGUGAGAUGUUGGGUUAAGUCCACAACGAGCGCAACCCUUGUCAUUAGUUGCUACGAAAGGGCACUCUAAUGAGACUGCCGGUGACAAACCGGAGGAAGGUGGGGAUGACGUCAAGUCCUCAUGGCCCUUAUGGGUAGGGCUUCACACGUCAUACAAUGGUCGGGACAGAGGGUCGCCAACCCGCGAGGGCCAAUCCCAGAAACCCGAUCGUAGUCCGGAUCGCAGUCUGCAACUCGACUGCGUGAAGUCGGAAUCGCUAGUAAUCGCGGAUCAGCAUGUCGCGGUGAAUACGUUCCCGGGUCUUAUUACGCACCGCCCGUCACACCAUGGGAGUGGGUUUUACCAGAAGUAGUUAGCCCUAACCGUAAGGAGGGCGAUUACCACGGUAGGAUUCAUGACUGGGGUGAAGUCGUAACAAAGGUAG